CGCCGUCAAGCCCCCGCCCCCCUCUUCCAGCCAGAUCUCCCUUCCCUUGCCGCCGGAGCCAUGGCGUUCGACGCCUUCACCGACAAGACCGCCGUCUUCCGCCGCCUCAAGGCCAAGCCCGAGAACAAGAUGUGCUUCGACUGCAACGCCAAGAACCCCACCUGGGCCUCCGUCACCUACGGCAUCUUCCUCUGCCUCGACUGCUCCGCCUUCCACCGCAGCCUCGGCGUGCACAUCACAUUCGUCAGGUCAACGAACCUGGACUCAUGGACUCCGGAUCAGCUAAAGAUGAUGGCUUUUGGAGGCAACAAUCGUGCACAUGCUUUCUUUAAACAGCACGGGUGGACAGAGGGGAGUGGCAAAGUCGAUUCAAAGUACACAUCCAGGGCUGCUGAAUUGUACAGGCAGAUACUGCAAAAGGAAGUUGCUAAGAGCUCCACCGUCAACGUCUUGCCAUCAUCCCCUGUUGCAGCGUCUCAGCCACCGAAUCCGACCGACGACUUCCCUGAUUUCAAGCUUGCUGAUGCACCAGAAGAGACUACCAACGGGAAGCAUGAACCUCUUGUCGCCAAUCCGCCAAAAGAGCCUGCCCAGGCUCCAAAAGCCCCUACACACCCCACUUAUGUCAGUUCUGUAAAGAAGCCCCUUGGUGCAAAGAAGCUUGGCGCCAAGACUGGAGGCCUUGGUGUAAAAAAGCUAACUACGAAGUCAAAUGAAAGCCUGUAUGAUCAGAAACCUGAAGAGCCAAAACCUGCUUUACCAACAAUGACGACUACUACUUCAGCUGCAAAAAGUGGCCCAUCCUCACAUUCGCGUUUUCAGUAUGUGGAGAAUGAGCCAUCAACAGAGUCAAAAACUGGAGGAGGCAACAAAACUGGCCAUGUAGCAGCACCAAAAACCUCAGACUUCUUUCAUGAGUAUGGAAUGGAUAAUGGCUUCCAAAGGAAAGCCGGCACAGCUGCCUCAAAGACUCAGAUAGAGGAAACUGAUGAAGCAAGGAAGAAAUUUUCGAACGCGAAAGCAAUUUCAUCAUCACAGUAUUUUGGUAACACAGACAGAGAACAAAAGGAGGCUCAGUUAUCUCUUCAAAAGUUUUCGGGUUCAUCAUCCAUUUCAAGCGCUGAUCUGUUUGGCCGUGAUACAAAUGAUUCUGAUCUGGACGCAAGUGCUGCAGAUCUCAUCAACAGAAUAUCUUUCCAGGCUUCCCAGGAUUUAUCAUCUCUCAAGAACAUGGCCGGAGAAACCGGAAAGAAGCUGACAUCUUUUGCCUCAAAUUUUAUCACCGACCUCGACAGAAUUCUGUGAGGUGUUGAUUGGCUGAAAUUGUGGGCAUUUCUCUGCACGCAGAAGUAGUGCUCUCGGAGUGACUUGAGCAUUUAUUGCACAGCUAUGUAGAGAAUAUUAGAGGGUUGUUACUAUUAUCAUGAAUGUGUAUCAUUCGCAUGCAUUUAUCAAAAUCUUGCUAUAAAAGAAAAUAUUGUUAUUAUUCAUUUGUUGACAAUAGGCGAUAUUGUACUUGUUACAGUUUGAUUUGCCGUGAUUUUUUAGUGCGAUGCUAUUGCUUGAUG
RNAcentral lists this ribosomal RNA (1568 nucleotides) under Triticum aestivum (bread wheat). RNAcentral's name for it is "partial small subunit ribosomal RNA". The record is from RNAcentral. Lineage: Eukaryota; Viridiplantae; Streptophyta; Magnoliopsida; Poales; Poaceae.